CCUACGGGCGGCAGCAGUGAGGAAUCUUCCACAAUGGACGAAAGUCUGAUGGAGCGACACCGCGUGAAGGAUGACGGUCUAACGAUUGUAAACUUCUUUUCUGAAGGAGCAUAAUGAGAGUACUUCAGGAAUAAGGGACGGCUAAUUACGUGCCAGCAGCCGCGGUAAUACGUAAGUCCCAAGCGUUACUCGAAAUUACUGGGUGUAAAGCGUUUGUAGGCGGAUAGAAAAGUCAGAUAUGAAAGACCGAGGCUCAACCUCGUGUAUGUAUUUGAAACUCUUUAUCUAGAAUCAGGGAGAGGUAAGCGGAAUUCUAAGUGUAGGGGUGCAAUCCGUAGAUACUUAGAAGAACACCAAAAGCGAAGGCAGCUUACUGGAACUCGAUUGACGCUGAGAAACGAAAGCGUGGGGAGCGAAGAGGAUUAGAUACCCCGGUAGUC
This 440-nucleotide ribosomal RNA is filed under the name uncultured bacterium. RNAcentral's name for it is "bacterial SSU rRNA". It matches the Rfam family "Bacterial small subunit ribosomal RNA", at positions 338 to 795 of the family's 1533-position model. The record is from RNAcentral.